GAAAUGCGAUAAGUAAUGUGAAUUGCAGAAUUCAGUGAAUCAUCGAAUCUUUGAACGCACAUUGCGCCCUCUGGUAUUCCGGAGGGCAUGCCUGUUCGAGCGUCAUUACAACCCUCAAGCUCUGCUUGGUAUUGGGCAUCACCGGUCAAACGGUGUGCCUUAAAAUCAGUGGCGGUGCCAUCUGGCUCUAAGCGUAGUACAUCUCUCGCUCUAGGUGCCUGGUGGAUGCUUGCCAACAACCCCCAAUUUUUUAAGGUUGACCUCGGAUCAGGUAGGGAUACCCGCUGAACUUAA
RNAcentral lists this unclassified non-coding RNA (294 nucleotides) under uncultured Helotiales. Its description in RNAcentral is "sequence contains ITS1". The stretch from base 1 to 105 matches the Rfam family "5.8S ribosomal RNA", at positions 50 to 154 of the family's 154-position model. Lineage: Eukaryota; Fungi; Ascomycota; Leotiomycetes; Helotiales. The record is from RNAcentral.